UACGGGGGGGGUAAGCGUUGUUCGGAAUUAUUGGGCGUAAAGGGCUCGUAGGCGGUCUGUCACGUCGGGAGUGAAAACUCAGGGCUUAACCCUGAGCCUGCUUCCGAUACGGGCAGACUAGAGGUAUGCAGGGGAGAACGGAAUUCCUGGUGUAGCGGUGAAAUGCGCAGAUAUCAGGAGGAACACCGGUGGCGAAGGCGGUUCUCUGGGCAUUACCUGACGCUGAGGAGCGAAAGUGUGGGGAGCGAACAGG
RNAcentral lists this ribosomal RNA (253 nucleotides) under uncultured bacterium. RNAcentral's name for it is "partial 16S ribosomal RNA". It matches the Rfam family "Bacterial small subunit ribosomal RNA", at positions 524 to 776 of the family's 1533-position model. The record is from RNAcentral.